AUUGAACGCUGGCGGCAUGCCUUACACAUGCAAGUCGAACGGCAGCGGGGGAGAAGCUUGCUUUUCCUGCCGGCGAGUGGCGAACGGGUGAGUAAUACAUCGGAACGUGCCCUGUAGUGGGGGAUAACUAGUCGAAAGAUUAGCUAAUACCGCAUACGACCUGAGGGUGAAAGUGGGGGACCGCAAGGCCUCAUGCUAUAGGAGCGGCCGAUGUCUGAUUAGCUAGUUGGUGGGGUAAAGGCCUACCAAGGCGACGAUCAGUAGCUGGUCUGAGAGGACGAUCAGCCACACUGGGACUGAGACACGGCACAGACUCCUACGGGAGGCAGCAGUGGGGAAUUUUGGACAAUGGGCGAAAGCCUGAUCCAGCAAUGCCGCGUGUGUGAAGAAGGCCUUCGGGUUGUAAAGCACUUUUGUCCGGAAAGAAGUGGCUCUGGUUAAUACCUGGGGUCGAUGACGGUACCGGAAGAAUAAGGACCGGCUAACUACGUGCCAGCCGCCGCAGUAA
RNAcentral lists this ribosomal RNA (508 nucleotides) under uncultured bacterium. RNAcentral's name for it is "partial 16S ribosomal RNA". It matches the Rfam family "Bacterial small subunit ribosomal RNA", at positions 30 to 523 of the family's 1533-position model. The record is from RNAcentral.